UACGUAGGGGGCAAGCGUUGUCCGGAUUUAUUGGGCGUAAAGAGCGUGUAGGCGGCCAUACAGGUCCGUUGUGAAAACUGGAGGCUUAACCUCCAGACGUCGAUGGAAACCGUAUGGCUAGAGUCCGGAAGAGGAGAGUGGAAUUCCUGGUGUAGCGGUGAAAUGCGCAGAUAUCAGGAAGAACACCCGUGGCGAAGGCGGCUCUCCGGGACGGUACUGACGCUGAGACGCGAAAGUGUGGGGAGCGAACAGG
RNAcentral lists this ribosomal RNA (253 nucleotides) under uncultured bacterium. RNAcentral describes it as "partial 16S ribosomal RNA". It matches the Rfam family "Bacterial small subunit ribosomal RNA", at positions 524 to 776 of the family's 1533-position model. The record is from RNAcentral.